CACACCUUCUUCUCCUUCUCUUCUUUUUCUUUCUUUCUUUCCACUUCACUCCUUUUAUAGUUUUUUUCCCCCUUUUUCUAUCUAUCUGUCUAAUCUCUUUCUCUGUCUUGCUAACUCUUCUUUCUUUCUUUCAUCAUUUUAUUUUUCCCUUUUCUUUCUGCGUUUCUCAUAAGCACUGUUUCUCUUUUUCAUCUUCACAUUUUUAUCUCUAUCCAUCUAUUUAUAUUCUUUCCUAUCUGUUCCUCUUUUCUUGUCUUGCUAACUCUCUUUUCUUUCUGCUUUUCUCACUCUUAUCUUUUUGGAUCUUUCUCCCUCUAUCCAUUCAUAUAUAUUCCUUCCCAUCUCUCUGUCCCUUCUUUCCUGUCCCUUUUCUCUUUCGCAACCUCUGUCUGUCUCUCCUUAUAUAUUCCUUCCUUCCUCUCCCUCUCCUCUGUUUCCUUGCUUGUGCUCCUUUUUUCAUUUCUUUCUUCCCUUUUAUCACGCUGUGUUGUUUGCCCUUUUUCUGCCUAGUAGUUUUAUUUCUCCGGCUCUUCGCUCGGUUUUGGACGUGAUCGAGUCGUUCACGGAGAACACGCGGUGCGCUGAUGAAAGUCGUAGGAAAGCGUGAUCGUGUGUCAGUGCAGCGUGUUGAUUUUCCUGUAAAGUCGGCUUUUGAGGGGGAAAAUAAACCCUUCUUCUCUUC
Long non-coding RNA from Ictalurus punctatus (channel catfish), 682 nucleotides. RefSeq lists it as uncharacterized. The transcript has 2 exons. NCBI's taxonomy places the organism in Eukaryota, Metazoa, Chordata, Actinopteri, Siluriformes, Ictaluridae. The record is from RefSeq and is a predicted model, not a curated record.